This 2924-nucleotide ribosomal RNA is filed under the name Escherichia coli. RNAcentral's name for it is "partial 23S ribosomal RNA". It matches the Rfam family "Bacterial large subunit ribosomal RNA". Lineage: Bacteria; Pseudomonadati; Pseudomonadota; Gammaproteobacteria; Enterobacterales; Enterobacteriaceae. The record is from RNAcentral.
GGGUUGUGAGGUUAAGCGACUAAGCGUACACGGUGGAUGCCCUGGCAGUCAGAGGCGAUGAAGGACGUGCUAAUCUGCGAUAAGCGUCGGUAAGGUGAUAUGAACCGUUAUAACCGGCGAUUUCCGAAUGGGGAAACCCAGUGUGUUUCGACACACUAUCAUUAACUGAAUCCAUAGGUUAAUGAGGCGAACCGGGGGAACUGAAACAUCUAAGUACCCCGAGGAAAAGAAAUCAACCGAGAUUCCCCCAGUAGCGGCGAGCGAACGGGGAGCAGCCCAGAGCCUGAAUCAGUGUGUGUGUUAGUGGAAGCGUCUGGAAAGGCGCGCGAUACAGGGUGACAGCCCCGUACACAAAAAUGCACAUACUGUGAGCUCGAUGAGUAGGGCGGGACACGUGGUAUCCUGUCUGAAUAUGGGGGGACCAUCCUCCAAGGCUAAAUACUCCUGACUGACCGAUAGUGAACCAGUACCGUGAGGGAAAGGCGAAAAGAACCCCGGCGAGGGGAGUGAAAAAGAACCUGAAACCGUGUACGUACAAGCAGUGGGAGCCUCUUUAUGGGGUGACUGCGUACCUUUUGUAUAAUGGGUCAGCGACUUAUAUUCUGUAGCAAGGUUAACCGAAUAGGGGAGCCGAAGGGAAACCGAGUCUUAACUGGGCGUUAAGUUGCAGGGUAUAGACCCGAAACCCGGUGAUCUAGCCAUGGGCAGGUUGAAGGUUGGGUAACACUAACUGGAGGACCGAACCGACUAAUGUUGAAAAAUUAGCGGAUGACUUGUGGCUGGGGGUGAAAGGCCAAUCAAACCGGGAGAUAGCUGGUUCUCCCCGAAAGCUAUUUAGGUAGCGCCUCGUGAAUUCAUCUCCGGGGGUAGAGCACUGUUUCGGCAAGGGGGUCAUCCCGACUUACCAACCCGAUGCAAACUGCGAAUACCGGAGAAUGUUAUCACGGGAGACACACGGCGGGUGCUAACGUCCGUCGUGAAGAGGGAAACAACCCAGACCGCCAGCUAAGGUCCCAAAGUCAUGGUUAAGUGGGAAACGAUGUGGGAAGGCCCAGACAGCCAGGAUGUUGGCUUAGAAGCAGCCAUCAUUUAAAGAAAGCGUAAUAGCUCACUGGUCGAGUCGGCCUGCGCGGAAGAUGUAACGGGGCUAAACCAUGCACCGAAGCUGCGGCAGCGACGCUUAUGCGUUGUUGGGUAGGGGAGCGUUCUGUAAGCCUGCGAAGGUGUGCUGUGAGGCAUGCUGGAGGUAUCAGAAGUGCGAAUGCUGACAUAAGUAACGAUAAAGCGGGUGAAAAGCCCGCUCGCCGGAAGACCAAGGGUUCCUGUCCAACGUUAAUCGGGGCAGGGUGAGUCGACCCCUAAGGCGAGGCCGAAAGGCGUAGUCGAUGGGAAACAGGUUAAUAUUCCUGUACUUGGUGUUACUGCGAAGGGGGGACGGAGAAGGCUAUGUUGGCCGGGCGACGGUUGUCCCGGUUUAAGCGUGUAGGCUGGUUUUCCAGGCAAAUCCGGAAAAUCAAGGCUGAGGCGUGAUGACGAGGCACUACGGUGCUGAAGCAACAAAUGCCCUGCUUCCAGGAAAAGCCUCUAAGCAUCAGGUAACAUCAAAUCGUACCCCAAACCGACACAGGUGGUCAGGUAGAGAAUACCAAGGCGCUUGAGAGAACUCGGGUGAAGGAACUAGGCAAAAUGGUGCCGUAACUUCGGGAGAAGGCACGCUGAUAUGUAGGUGAAGCGACUUGCUCGUGGAGCUGAAAUCAGUCGAAGAUACCAGCUGGCUGCAACUGUUUAUUAAAAACACAGCACUGUGCAAACACGAAAGUGGACGUAUACGGUGUGACGCCUGCCCGGUGCCGGAAGGUUAAUUGAUGGGGUCAGCGCAAGCGAAGCUCUUGAUCGAAGCCCCGGUAAACGGCGGCCGUAACUAUAACGGUCCUAAGGUAGCGAAAUUCCUUGUCGGGUAAGUUCCGACCUGCACGAAUGGCGUAAUGAUGGCCAGGCUGUCUCCACCCGAGACUCAGUGAAAUUGAACUCGCUGUGAAGAUGCAGUGUACCCGCGGCAAGACGGAAAGACCCCGUGAACCUUUACUAUAGCUUGACACUGAACAUUGAGCCUUGAUGUGUAGGAUAGGUGGGAGGCUUUGAAGUGUGGACGCCAGUCUGCAUGGAGCCGACCUUGAAAUACCACCCUUUAAUGUUUGAUGUUCUAACGUUGACCCGUAAUCCGGGUUGCGGACAGUGUCUGGUGGGUAGUUUGACUGGGGCGGUCUCCUCCUAAAGAGUAACGGAGGAGCACGAAGGUUGGCUAAUCCUGGUCGGACAUCAGGAGGUUAGUGCAAUGGCAUAAGCCAGCUUGACUGCGAGCGUGACGGCGCGAGCAGGUGCGAAAGCAGGUCAUAGUGAUCCGGUGGUUCUGAAUGGAAGGGCCAUCGCUCAACGGAUAAAAGGUACUCCGGGGAUAACAGGCUGAUACCGCCCAAGAGUUCAUAUCGACGGCGGUGUUUGGCACCUCGAUGUCGGCUCAUCACAUCCUGGGGCUGAAGUAGGUCCCAAGGGUAUGGCUGUUCGCCAUUUAAAGUGGUACGCGAGCUGGGUUUAGAACGUCGUGAGACAGUUCGGUCCCUAUCUGCCGUGGGCGCUGGAGAACUGAGGGGGGCUGCUCCUAGUACGAGAGGACCGGAGUGGACGCAUCACUGGUGUUCGGGUUGUCAUGCCAAUGGCACUGCCCGGUAGCUAAAUGCGGAAGAGAUAAGUGCUGAAAGCAUCUAAGCACGAAACUUGCCCCGAGAUGAGUUCUCCCUGACCCUUUAAGGGUCCUGAAGGAACGUUGAAGACGACGACGUUGAUAGGCCGGGUGUGUAAGCGCAGCGAUGCGUUGAGCUAACCGGUACUAAUGAACCGUGAGGCUUAACCUUACAACGCCGAAG